UAUUAAAAUUACAAAAGGUUGCAGCAUAUGUUGUGUAAAUGGUGAACUCAUACAGCUGUCAACUCUUGUCAUUUUAAUCCGUUUCACAUUUGCUAGCUACCUUUUAGAUCGAAGCCCAAAUAGAAUGAUAGAAGAUAAGAUGAUAGAAGCCCAUCUCCUACUGUAAAUAACCUACACACUGUGUGUGUGUGUGUAGCCAGCCAGCCAGGUAGGAAAAUGGCAGAAAAAUAAAAGACGGACAUCAGAGUAUUUUUCAAUACACCAAAACGCAAAGCAGAGCAGGCAACAGAUGGCACACAGACAGCAGAGUUGGGGACAGAUAUGCAGGGACAGACUGGCAGAGACAGUGAGUCUCAGAUGGUCGCAUGCGGUUGGACACAUGGAGGAGAGAAUCAUUUUCGCAGUAUCCUCAAAACCGUGUCUUUUUGACACAACUGCUGACAGCUACAGGGACAUAAACACAAAAAAUCCUGCUUGGAGACAAGUGUCCACGAUAGUAGGAUUGCCAGGUCAGUUUAGUAGUGGGCAUGUGCCAGAUGUGGCUAGUUAACGUGACCCACAACAAUGGGUCCUGGAGAAGACUAGCCUACCUUCAUCAGAGCAGAAGGCACCCCAAUGUUCUUUCCAUUUGGUAACAUUGCAUAAUUAAAAAAGGAUUCUAAACCAACUUUGGGAAAAGUUAUAGUCCUAAUGAACAUUCUGUAAAAGUACAUCUGAUGUCAAAUAGGGACUAUUAACUAGAGAGCCCUUUAGCUAGCUAGGUUGCACAUAAAAACAAUGUAUCAAAUAUAAAUCAAUUAUGGUAUCAAAGGCUUUAAAAAUGUACUAGAAUGUAGCUUACCGUAGACAAAUCACCAGGCGUUCAACUGGGCUGAUGGACUCCCGGUAGUUGGUAUCCAUCCGGAUGAUCCUGGCUCCAACCAUCUGAAGCAGGUGAUCGAACUGGCUUCGGUCCAGACGAAAGUAACUUCGGAAUUCCUCUCCAAGCAGUCGAAGCUCUUGAAUGAGACGGUGGAACUCCUCUGCCUGCUUUCGGGACUUUAACCAUCUCUGGACCCAUACAGACCUGCGCUUUCGGCGGGGCUGAUCCCGGCCCAACAGCGCGAUCAAGACCACCUUCCUCAACGUUGGUCUCAUUGUUGAAAGAGCCGACUCUGCUAUCUUGACUAUUAUGCAUUUUGCUCCAAAGCUGCAUUUUGGAGGGAAAUUAUAUUAUAGGCUCUCACAAUUAAUUUGUGGAUGUCAUCGAAUAAAUAAUAUACUUGGCAAAUAAAUGAAUAAAAAAAUGUAAAGAAA
RNAcentral lists this long non-coding RNA (1296 nucleotides) under Salmo salar (Atlantic salmon). Its description in RNAcentral is "lncRNA (ENSSSAG00000112542.1)". The record is from RNAcentral. Lineage: Eukaryota; Metazoa; Chordata; Actinopteri; Salmoniformes; Salmonidae.